Molecule: small RNA, 62 nt
Filed under: Cetobacterium ceti
Lineage: Bacteria; Fusobacteriati; Fusobacteriota; Fusobacteriia; Fusobacteriales; Fusobacteriaceae
Description: RAGATH-18 RNA
Rfam family: RAGATH-18 RNA
About the family: Actinobacteria, Firmicutes, Fusobacteria, Thermotogae (1 example). Nearby to self-cleaving ribozyme genes
Source: Rfam by way of RNAcentral
CCUUUGGAGUGUCAUAAGAAAUUGGAGUAGCUUAGGCAAAACAAGACACUGUGAAUAAGGAA